Acinonyx jubatus (cheetah) is the source of this 4196-nucleotide long non-coding RNA. RefSeq lists it as uncharacterized. NCBI's taxonomy places the organism in Eukaryota, Metazoa, Chordata, Mammalia, Carnivora, Felidae. The record is from RefSeq and is a predicted model, not a curated record. The transcript is spliced from 7 exons.
GCACAUAUCGUUGGAGAUAUCUAAUUUAUUUCUACAGAACAAUUGGAUUCUAUUUGUUACAAAGUAAAUUUUAUUUUUAAAAGAUUCCAUAAGUUUUAUUUGAGAGAUAUAAUUUGAGAAAUUAUAAAAGAAAAUAUUUAAAAGAAAUGUAAAGUAGAAGGGAUUAACUAUUAUAGGUUGUAAUAGUUAAAGGACUGCAGGUCUAGUCCUAGAAUAUGAAAUUUAAAAACACUGAAAUAGAAUAGACAGGUCAAAAGUAGAUAUUUUGGUCCAUAAAUAAUUAAUAGCUGAUAACAGAGGCAAGGCAAACUGGCGGGAAACUUGAAUUAUGUUGUAAGAACUGAUUUAAAACAUGGUUAAAAAAAUGUUCACUUCACCAUACACCAGAAAAAAUUCUAGGUACAUAUUUAAAAUUAAAUUGUGUUUUAAAUGCAAGGAACUAGAAGAUGAAACUUUAUGAGAAGCAUUGACACUUUGUACAUAAGGUUAUAAAUAUUAUGAAAAGAUUUUCGUGCAUGAAAACAUGUUAAUAUACAAACAUUUUAAGCUUCCUUGUAUAAAAUAAUCAAAAUACAAAUUUAAAAAUAUUCUGGAGAAAUACUGGGGAUAUAUUUUAUCUUUAUCCAUAUGAACAGAUUCUAGAAAUUGAUCGUAACUUACUUUCAGUAUCUAUGUACUGAAUCUUAAGAGAUGUUAAUGUGGAAAUUCAAGGAAACAACAGUAUAUGCAGUCAAUAAGACAAUUUUAAGAGCACACUCAAAGAACACGCCAGAUAUGUUACACACACAAAGAAACUAGAAACCAAGCAAAGGAAAAGAUGUUCAGUCUUACUAAUUUUUUUCCACCUAAGAAAUUUAAAUUAGUAUGUAAAUAAGUAGUAAUGAUAAAAAUCAGCAUGGCAAAAGUAUCAUGAAAAUGGCACUUAAACACUACUGGUGUCAUUACAUUUUGGAAAGUUAUUUGGUAAUAUUGUAUCAAAUUUGAUAAAAAUAGUUUUAACUAGUGACCAAAUAAUAACCUAUCUGGAGAUCUAUCCUAAGGAAAUAGUAAUCCAAAAUCUAGGAUAAAAUCUUCAGGGAUGAAGAUACUAAAACCAUAGUAUUUCUAAUGGCAUGAUAUUGGAAUUUAUCUAGAUAUCCAAUAAUGGCAAGGUGAAGUACAUUUGAUGCGAUAUGAUUCCAGAAGUUACAUGAUAGUUAAAAGACUAUGUAGGAAACAUUAAAAAGUGCUUAUGUUGUGAUUUUAAGUGAUUAAAGACCAGAUGUAACAUUGUGUACAUAGUGAUACACAGUAUAAGAUGCAUCAGAUUACUGGAAGGAAAUACAAUAACAUGCUAACAGUAAUAUAUGAAGGUGGUGGUAUUCAGGGCAUCUUUUCCAGUUUUCAAAAAUGUCUCUACUAGGGUUACAGGGUCUUCAUAUUUAAAAUAUGUAAAUAUAAAGGUAUUGCUGAUAUCCGCAAUCAACUAUAUAAAUCUGUAUAUAUGGUAUGGAUACAUCUGUGUGGGUAGCACUCUACAUAGAAUAUUUCUUGCAAAUGUAAGAAAUGUAUCUGAAUAUAUUACAUAAUUAUUUUUUCUGAAUAACCUUGAACAGACAAAUGUAAGAACAUUUGAAAUAUAGAGAAUGCCUGAUGAUAACCUGCUUGAACAUAUCCCUUAAAUCUUAGCAUGUCAAGUGAUCAUCAACAAGGCAUUUUCUAAGAGACUUUGAGAAAGAGGACUGCAGAAUAAAUAUCCCAGAAAGACAAUAAUGUAGCAGCUUAGAUAAAAUGCUACAGAAAUAAAGAAAACAUUCUACAAGUAAGCACUAUGAAUUGAUGGAAAUCUUUUGAGUAUUGGUGUUCUCCUCAGAGAGAAUAAACUGGUCUUUGUUGCUGAAAUGUUAACCCAUACAUAUUUAAGUUUAUGUCUUCAAAGAAGGAGAACUGGGAGGACAGAGCAACCACAGUAAAAGGCUUCCAAGCCUUCUGGUGAUGUAUUAUUAAUUUGCCGCAUUUGCCAGGCCAACUCCAUGUCUGUAAUUCAACAGCCCCCUUCAUUGUAUCAGUGAUGAUUCCACAGCAUCCACACACCAGCAGAGAAUGAAAAGCAUUACAAUCCAUGAAGAAUAUUUCUACACUAGAGAUAAAAAUAAAACAAGGAGUUAAAAUGUAAAAACUCAAUGGAAAAGCUACUUGAAAGAGGUGAUUAAUUUGGCUAUCAACAGUGAUCAUCCUUUCCUCCAAGUUAAUUUUAGUAACAGCCAUCCUAACAGAAUGAAGAAGAAAAGAAGAAUGUUUGCAAAUAACACUACAAAAAUUUGUCACUAGCCCAUCUGCAUUACAAGAAGUGCUAAAGGAACUUGUUCAGUAUGAAGAAAAUGAUACCCAAUGAAAGCUUGUAUGUUCAGGAUGGAAAGAAGAGAAUAAAAAAUGAAUCUAGGGAAAGAAAAGGGCAACCAGCAUGCCUGCUCCCUAUGUAUGAGGAUAUAGAGAAGAACUCAUGAAAACCGGAAAAACUGAUGCUUGGAGAUACAUCAGACAUCUGGACUGGAGCAUUCAAUGAACCUUGUUCCAAAGACACGACUGCAUGGGUCUUUCCUGUAUAGAGGUCCAGAACAUAUUAAAAUAGAGACAGAAAGGAAACAAGGAAAAUACGUUUAAAAUUUGAGAAAUUGUCAGCAUUAUCAAGAACAAUUUCAAGGUCUUUCUAUGUAGACAAACUAUCACUGCUACUCUGUUCACAUGGUGAUAACGAUGCCAUAAUUCCAGAGGUUUUACUUCUUCAUUCAAGAGAUCAGCCUAUGUAAGGAUGAAAGUCUUGAAACUAACUCUAGAUUUCUAAGAGAGGAAUUUGAUUAGCCAUAUUUAAGUCAGGGACUCCCCGUGGUCCAAGAAUCCACCAACAGGAGCAUGGAGUUAUGCUGUUCAAAUACGGUUGCCAUCUCCUGUACCUAUGACUCUGUGGAUGGGGACUGGGAAUGGCAGGAGUUCCUACAUAAGACAGGUUAAUUCUGAAUUCACUUUUUCUUUCAAUAAUUAUGUUGGGACUUUCUAUAUGUCCAGCACUGGGGAUAUGAUUCUGAAAAGGAUACUUCUUACCCUCACAAACAUUUCUAUCUAGUUAGGUGUAUUGGGACAGGGAGGUGGCUGGUGAGGAUUGGGUUUUAUGUAAAUUGUCUUUGUAAUAAAUGCAACAAGUGAUAUUAUGGAGGCAAAAAAAAAAGGUGUUAUGGUAGUAAAGGAGAAGACAUAUCUCACUCAGGCUGGGAGGUGAGUGAUGUCUUCUUGUGAAAAGUGACAUCUAUACUAAGACUACAGACAUGCAUAAGCGUUAGCCUGGUCAAAUAGAUGGAAGUGAAAUAUAAUAGAAAUGACUCUUAUGUUUAUGUAGACACAAAGAUAAUGUUGACGGAUCUAAAACAAAGUAAUAUUAGAAUAUUGAUGGGUAUCUCAGCUUGGGUUUCCCAAAUAUCAGAUCCCGAGAUAAGACAAAAUUAGUCCUCUGUGCUGGCAGUGUUCUUAACAGGUUCUUCCAACAAGGAUGUCCAACAGCCGAUUUGCAUAACAGAUUUGCAUUUUCCCAGUGUAGCCCAGCGGGAAAAUAGCACCUUUUCCUCAGUGGUUUCCCUGGAACAGUACAACGUUCCAGGGCUGACUCUAAUGAGAAUGCUUUGGGCCAUUGAGCCAAUCACCAUAGACAAACACCUAGAAUAUUCUGGUCAGGGAUUGGGGAAGGCCCCGUUUGUAUCACAUGACCAAAUAGUGGGUGAGGAGGAGUAAUUCUUGAAAAGAUAUCACGGAACUAUUACCUGAAAAGAGAAUGAAUGCUAGGCAGGCAAAAUCCACAGAUGUCUGCUAAAAUUUGGGAUGACAUUCCUUUAAUAUUUCUUUUAUAUGUGGAGGUGUGAUGUAUUAUAUGGACUUAGCAACAAAGAACUUUUUUUGCUUAAUAGAGUUGAUCCUAUAACUCUCUUCUCUCAGAGUAGUAACUUGUACAUAAAGGAUUAUGGUAAAGAGUAAAGAGUAAAAACACACGUUGGUUUUUAGUAUACCAUAAAAAUUCACACAGAAAGAGAAUAGUGAUUCUUAACUCAUAAUGGUUCACAGAUGUUUUUUUCACAGAAAUUUUUGAGAAUCCGAUGAAUUCAACAGACUUGCUCCAUAGAACAUUUUUUUUUUUGUUUUGUUUUUUGGUACAUACAAACUUCUUUUGA